This 59-nucleotide transfer RNA is filed under the name Loxodonta africana (African savanna elephant). It matches the Rfam family "tRNA", at positions 14 to 71 of the family's 71-position model. Rfam says of the family: Transfer RNA (tRNA) molecules are approximately 80 nucleotides in length. Their secondary structure includes four short double-helical elements and three loops (D, anti-codon, and T loops). The record is from Rfam by way of RNAcentral. Lineage: Eukaryota; Metazoa; Chordata; Mammalia; Proboscidea; Elephantidae.
AGUGGUUAAGCGUUUGGCUGCUAACCAAAAUGUUGGUGGUUCAAAUCCACCAGCCACCC